Molecule: ribosomal RNA, 458 nt
Filed under: uncultured bacterium
Lineage: Bacteria
Description: partial 16S ribosomal RNA
Rfam family: Bacterial small subunit ribosomal RNA
Source: RNAcentral
CCUACGGGAGGCAGCAGUGAGGAAUAUUGGUCAAUGGGCGAGAGCCUGAACCAGCCAAGUCGCGUGAGGGAGUACUGCCCUAUGGGUUGUAAACCUCUUUUGUCGGGGAGCAAAAGCCGGAAGUGGCCGGCUGUGAGAGUACCCGAAGAAAAAGCAGCGGCUAACUCCGUGCCAGCAGCCGCGGUAAUACGGAGGAUGCGAGCGUUAUCCGGAUUUAUUGGGUGUAACGGGGGCGCAGGCGGAUUUUUAAGUAAGCGGUCAAAGCGGGGGGCGCCACCCCAUCCAGCCGUUGAAACUGGGGCUCUAGAGUGUGCGAGAGGUAUGCGGAAUGCGUGGUGUAGCGGUGAAAUGCAUCGAUAUCACGCAGAACCCCGAUUGCGAAGGCAGCAUACCGGUGCACAACUGACGCUCAGGCACGAACGCGUGGGUAUCGAACAGGAUUAGAUACCCCUGUAGCC